AGGAGCCAAGGAAGAAAAACAACCCAGGAGGUGCACCUGUUGGAUCUUAAUGUACACACAGCCAUCAUAGCCAAGGAGGCACAGAAAGGAAAGUCUGUGAUUGUCCCAGGCCCAUAUGGAGCUCCCAUUAGCCACCAGAAGCAGAAUUAGUUUCUUUUGAAAAUAUAUUUGAUAUUUUAUUUACAGCCCCAUUUGACUCAGGAAGGACACGAGUUUGACUUGGGCCCAGAUGAAGACAGAGGCCCUGGAAGUGAAUACAAAACCUGAAGAGACAUAAAAAGCUGGAGUAUCAGAUCCAUAGAUACAGAUAUUUGUUCCUUGAUUAUUGGAAGAAAAAAGAGCCAAAUUAUAAUACAGAAAGAGACAGAUGGGAACUUUUGGAAAGGCCUGGUGCAAAGACUUUGCAAAGCAGGACCUAGGCACAUGCAAGGUAUGGAAAGAGGAGUUCCAGAAUCAGGGAAAGAGAUAAAAGGUGGAACCUGAGGAUCAAGGGAGUUUGUUGUUCACUGGACACCAGGAGAGCAGUGACUGACUUCCUGUGGCCAUCCUGUGAAGGCUAGAGGGA
Molecule: long non-coding RNA, 565 nt
Filed under: Monodelphis domestica (gray short-tailed opossum)
Lineage: Eukaryota; Metazoa; Chordata; Mammalia; Didelphimorphia; Didelphidae
Description: lncRNA (ENSMODG00000042714.1)
Source: RNAcentral